GAUGAACGCUGGCGGCGUGCCUAAUACAUGCAAGUCGAGCGAACGGACGAGAAGCUUGCUUCUCUGAUGUUAGAGGCGGACGGGUGAGUAACACGUGGAUAACCUACCUAUAAGACUGGGAUCACUUCGGGAAACCGUAGCUAAUACCGGAUAAUAUUUUGAACCGCAUGGUUCAAAAGUGAAAGACGGUCUUGCUGUCACUUAUAGAUGGAUCCGCGCUGCAUUAGCUAGUUGGUAAGGUAACGGCUUACCAAGGCAACGAUGCAUAGCCGACCUGAGAGGGGGAUCGGCCACACUGGAACUGAGACACGGUCCAGACUCCUACGGGAGGCAGCAGUAGGGAAUCUUCCGCAAUGGGCGAAAGCCUGACGGAGCAACGCCGCGUGAGUGAUGAAGGUCUUCGGAGCGUAAAACUCUGUUAUUAGGGGAGAACAUAUGUGUAAGUAACUGUGCACAUCUUGACGGUACCUAAUCAGAAAGCCACGGCUAACUACGUG
This 497-nucleotide ribosomal RNA is filed under the name uncultured bacterium. RNAcentral's name for it is "partial 16S ribosomal RNA". It matches the Rfam family "Bacterial small subunit ribosomal RNA", at positions 28 to 507 of the family's 1533-position model. The record is from RNAcentral.